GUAAGUUCACGCCACGCUUUAGAACGGGCGAAACCGCGAAUGGCUCAGGAACCGGACCUAAUCCUCGGGACCGUAAUCCUCCUCUUUGGAGGCGAUGGAUAACUGUGGCAAUUCUAGAGCUAAUACAUGUGACACAAGCCGCGAUCGGUCGGCGCGCAGCCGUCGCCUUCGCCUUUACUGCGCGUGGGCACCCGCGUCGAUCGUUCCGGGUCGCGGCGCUACAUAUUAGACUGAGACCGAUGCGCGUUCUUCCGUCCUCCCGUUCGUCGUCGUCGUUAGCUCCUCGCUUCGGCGGGGCUGCGAGCGCGCGGCGGCGGGGCUACUAUGGGCGGCGCGCUCCGCUUUGGUGACUCUGGAUAACUCACUGGUCGAUCGCACCGGCUUUCAUGCCUGGCGACGGGUCUCUCGAGGGUCCGCCCUAUCAACUGUCGACGGUCGGUUAAGUGCCUACCGUGGUUACUACGGGUAACGGGGAAUCGGGGUUCGAUUCCGGAGAGGGAGCAUGCGAAACGGCUACCACAUCCAAGGAAGGCAGCAGGCGCGCAAAUUACCCACUCCCGGCACGGGGAGGUAGUGACGAAAAAUAACGACGCGGGACUCUGUCGAGGCCCCGCGAUCGGAAUGAGUACACUUCAAAUCCGUUAACGAGGACCAACCGGAGGGCAAGUCUGGUGCCACANNNNNNNNNNNNNNNNNNNNNNNNNNNNNNNNNNNNNNNNNNNNNNNNNNCCGGAAGUUAGCCGGUGUAANUGCCAUGACAUCCGCCUGGCGGUCCUGCCGGCGAAAAUCUUUGCGCGGAUGGCGUCUGGGGGGGCGUUCGGGGCGGUCAAGGGAUUGCGGGGUUAAAGGUGGGGGUGGCGUUGGAAUCAGGGGGGCGGGCGGUCGUCCUUCGCGGGGCUUCAGCUCUCUCUUCCCAAUCGUCCUAACCUUCCUCUCGUUCUCCCUCGUCUCGUUUUCGUCUCCCCCUCUCGUUGCCGAGUAAUGUUUCGUCGCGCGCGCGUGUUUGCGGUCGGGCGGUUUCUCCUCCAAGGGUGCUCUUAACCGAGUGUCCGCGGCGGCCGGUACGUUCACUUUGAAAAAAUUAGAGUGCUCAGAGCGGGCUGUUCAAGCUUGCAUACGAUAAGCAUGGAAUGAUGGAAGAGGGCCUCGUCUACGUCUGUCGGUCUCCGUCUACGGCGAGGCAAUGAUCGAAGGGAGCGGUCGGGGCCACUCGUAUUGCGACGUUAGAGGUGAAAUUCUUGGAUCGUCGCAAGACGAACUGCAGCGAUGGCGUGUGGCAAGCACGUUUUCCUCGAUCAAGAGCGAAAGUCGGAGGUUCGAAGACGAUCAGAUACCGUCGUAGUUCCGACCGUAAACGAUGCCGACCGGCGAUCCGCCGGCGUUCGCUUCCAUGACCCGGCGGGUAGCCUGCGGGAAACCAGAGUUCGGUUCCGGGGGGAGUAUGGUUGCAAAGCUGAAACUUAAAGGAAUUGACGGAAGGGCACCACCAGGAGUGGAGCCUGCGGCUUAAUUUGACUCAACACGGGAAAACUCACCCGGUCCGGACACCGGUAGGAUUGACAGAUCGAUAGCUCUUUCUCGAUUCGGUGGGUGGUGGUGCAUGGCCGUUCUUAGUUGGUGGAGCGAUCCGUCUGGUUGAUUCCGAUAACGAACGAGACUCCGGCCUGCUAACUAGUGCGCCGAUGUGUGUGCGUUUUUCGCUACGGCGGGCUCGGGCCGUGCGUGUUCGUCGCGCGUUGCCUCGUGCGUGCGUCUGCGUUCGUUUUUUCGUUCGUCGGCGGCGGCUGUGGGCGGGGGAAGUGGCGGUUCUCCGUCGCUUUUCUUUUUCCGCGGUCGUCUCGGCGGGCGGGAGCGGGCGUGGGCGUCGUCGAUGGCGCGUGCGGUCGUGCGUGCGGUUUCCGCCGGGUCCGGGUCGGUUUUCUCACGCACUUCUUAGAGGGACGGGUGGCAGAAAGCCACACGAGCGGACGAUAACAGGUCUGUGAUGCUGAUGCCCUUAGAUGUCCGGGGCCGCACGCGCGCUACACUGGAGGUAUCAGCGGGGACUUCGCCCCGGCCCGAGAGGGCUGGGAAACCUCUCAACCACCUCCCGUGAUAGGGAUCGGGGCCUGUAACCAACCCCGUGAACGAGGAAUUCCCGGUAGGCGCGGGUCAACAGCCCGCGUCGAUCACGUCCCUGCCCUUUGUACACACCGCCCGUCGCUACUACCGAUCGAACGGUCCGGUGAGGUCCUCGGAUCUGGCCGACGACGCCGCCGGGCUGCCUGGUGGCUCUGCUGCUUGUGUCGCCUCGGCGUUCGACGCCUGGAGAAGACGACCGAACCCGAUCGUUUAGAGGAAGUAAAAGUCGACA
This 2353-nucleotide ribosomal RNA is filed under the name Loligo vulgaris. RNAcentral's name for it is "partial 18S ribosomal RNA". It matches the Rfam family "Eukaryotic small subunit ribosomal RNA". The record is from RNAcentral. Lineage: Eukaryota; Metazoa; Mollusca; Cephalopoda; Myopsida; Loliginidae.